GCUUAGCACGCAUGGUAGGAGAGCGUUCCGUAAGCCUGCGAAGGUGCCUUGUAAAGGGUGCUGGAGGUAUCGGAAGUGCGAAUGCUGACAUGAGUAGCGAUAAAGGGGGUGAAAGGCCCCCUCGCCGUAAGCCCAAGGUUUCCUACGCAACGUUCAUCGGCGUAGGGUGAGUCGGCCCCUAAGGCGAGGCAGAAAUGCGUAGCUGAUGGGAAGCAGGUCAAUAUUCCUGCACCAUUGUUAGAUGCGAUGGGGGGACGGAUCGCGGAAGGUUGUCCGGGUGUUGGAAGUCCCGGUCGCUGCAUUGGAGAAGGCGCUUAGGCAAAUCCGGGCGCGGAAUUCAAGGGUGUGGCGCGAGCUCCCUAGGGAGCGAAGCAAUUGGAAGUGGUUCCAAGAAAAGCCUCUAAGCUUCAGUCUAAUGAUGACCGUACCGCAAACCGACACAGGUGGGCGAGAUGAGUAUUCUAAGGCGCUUGAGAGAACUCGGGAGAAGGAACUCGGCAAAUUGGUACCGUAACUUCGGGAUAAGGUACGCCCUUGUAGCUUGACUGGCUUGCGCCAGGAGGGUGAAGGGGUUGCAAUAAACUGGUGGCUGCGACUGUUUAAUAAAAACACAGCACUCUGCAAACACGAAAGUGGACGUAUAGGGUGUGACGCCUGCCCGGUGCCGGAAGAUUAAAUGAUGGGGUGCAAGCUCUUGAUUGAAGUCCCGGUAAACGGCGGCCGUAACUAUAACGGUCCUAAGGUAGCGAAAUUCCUUGUCGGGUAAGUUCCGACCUGCACGAAUGGCGUAACGAUGGCCACACUGUCUCCUCCCGAGACUCAGCGAAGUUGAAGUGUUUGUGAUGAUGCAAUCUACCCGCGGCUAGACGGAAAGACCCCAUGAACCUUUACUGUAGCUUUGCAUUGGACUUUGAACCGAUCUGUGUAGGAUAGGUGGGAGGCUAUGAAACCGGAACGCUAGUUUCGGUGGAGCCGUCCUUGAAAUACCACCCUGGUUUGUUUGAGGUUCUAACCUUGGCCCGUGAUCCGGGUCGGGGACAGUGCAUGGUAGGCAGUUUGACUGGGGCGGUCUCCUCCCAAAGCGUAACGGAGGAGUACGAAGGUACGCUAGGUACGGUCGGAAAUCGUGCUGAUAGUGCAAUGGCAUAAGCGUGCUUAACUGCGAGACCGACAAGUCGAGCAGGUGCGAAAGCAGGUCAUAGUGAUCCGGUGGUUCUGUAUGGAAGGGCCAUCGCUCAACGGAUAAAAGGUACUCUGGGGAUAACAGGCUGAUACCGCCCAAGAGUUCAUAUCGACGGCGGUGUUUGGCACCUCGAUGUCGGCUCAUCUCAUCCUGGGGCUGUAGCCGGUCCCAAGGGUAUGGCUGUUCGCCAUUUAAAGAGGUACGUGAGCUGGGUUUAAAACGUCGUGAGACAGUUUGGUCCCUAUCUGCCGU
RNAcentral lists this ribosomal RNA (1435 nucleotides) under Burkholderia contaminans. Its description in RNAcentral is "partial 23S ribosomal RNA". It matches the Rfam family "Bacterial large subunit ribosomal RNA", at positions 1214 to 2648 of the family's 2925-position model. The record is from RNAcentral. Lineage: Bacteria; Pseudomonadati; Pseudomonadota; Betaproteobacteria; Burkholderiales; Burkholderiaceae.